Molecule: long non-coding RNA, 121 nt
Organism: Priapulus caudatus
Lineage: Eukaryota; Metazoa; Priapulida; Priapulimorpha; Priapulimorphida; Priapulidae
Exons: 3
Source: RefSeq, a predicted model, not a curated record
GCUGAAGCAGCAAGAUGCGACGUCCAUUCCACUCGCACGACUGUGGACUAAGCUCGACUCCACCUUGCUGCAGUUAAAGCACCAGCUUGCAGCGCCACCUGCUGCCCGUAUGGUGAUUAAU